This 253-nucleotide ribosomal RNA is filed under the name uncultured bacterium. RNAcentral's name for it is "partial 16S ribosomal RNA". It matches the Rfam family "Bacterial small subunit ribosomal RNA", at positions 524 to 776 of the family's 1533-position model. The record is from RNAcentral.
UACGGGGGGGGCAAGCGUUGUUCGGAAUUACUGGGCGUAAAGGGUCUGUAGGUGGCCAACUAAGUCAGACGUGAAAUCCCUCGGCUUAACCGGGGAACUGCGUCUGAUACUGGAUGGCUAGAGGUUGGGAGAGGGAUGCGGAAUUCCAGGUGUAGCGGUGAAAUGCGUAGAUAUCUGGAGGAACACCGGUGGCGAAGGCGGCAUCCUGGACCAAUUCUGACGCUGAGGAGCGAAAGCCAGGGGAGCAAACGGG